ACUGAGGCUGCGAAGAUAUUUUUUGUGAUGAAUGGAAAUGGAAGGGUAGCAUUUGACGGAAGACGAGAAAUUCAUGUCCGCCGGACUCACCAUUGCCAUUCAAGGAAGGAUGGCGUUCUUCAAUUCCUACUGAACUUUUGUAUUAUAUGCUGACUAUUUGGGGUCCGUACAUCACAGAUCAGCGGUGU
Molecule: long non-coding RNA, 188 nt
Organism: Cucurbita pepo subsp. pepo (vegetable marrow)
Lineage: Eukaryota; Viridiplantae; Streptophyta; Magnoliopsida; Cucurbitales; Cucurbitaceae
Source: RefSeq, a predicted model, not a curated record